This 778-nucleotide long non-coding RNA is filed under the name Androctonus crassicauda. The record is from RNAcentral. Lineage: Eukaryota; Metazoa; Arthropoda; Arachnida; Scorpiones; Buthidae.
CGACUUAACAAGAAAUGAAUACCUCAAUGCUUUACCCAUGGGAGCGCUGCAAUCUCAUUUUGAGAAUUGUAUAUUUGUGUAACCUAAUGUGUGCUCUCAAGAUGUGUAGAAUGUUUUCACUCAGUCUCAUUUUCGAUUGGUAAGAUAUGUUAUCACGUGAUCCGUUAUUGUCGUCACAUAUUUUGAAUUCAAUUGCAAUUGAUUUAAAAAUUUCUUUGAAACUUUUCUCAUGAUCAAAAAGUGUUCUAUACAUGUUAUAUAGAAUAUUAUCGUUUAACAUAUUUCAUCAAUAAUAAGAUUUUUGCAUCUCAAGGAUUGAAGCAUGGUUUCUGAUAUGAUGUGCACGAUUUUGGGCGGAAUAUCCAGCUUUUCGACCGCGGGGGAGGUUGGAGAGGGGAUUGAUGCUCCUUUUUGAAUUGACUGUUCCUGAAUUUGAACUUGUGUGUGGCGACAGCGAUGCUGGAUCGCUUGACUGUUUAUGUCCGAUCCUGUCCCCAGUCGGGGGUCGCGGGUUGGACUCUUUUCGGCCGCGCGCCGCCUGUCUUCGUUGCCCUGUUCCUUCUUCAUGGAUCCCCGUCUUUUCCCCGCCUGCGUCAUCGGUCGCUGUCGCUCAGUUUUAUAUAGUAUUGUGUUCUAUUUUGAAGAAUUUUUGUGCUAAUUUUGUAUAUAUUUCGGAGGAGCUGAGUGGUCCGCAUUGUUGAAAGGGUCAUUGGCCUUUGUUGGUCCAUUCAUGGGGGAGUACAGUAUUGUGAAGGCGUUGUGCGUGAUUUUGCUGGCG